CUACGGGUGGCUGCAGUGAGGAAUAUUGCGCAAUGGAGGAAACUCUGGCGCAGCGACGCCGCGUGGAUGAUGAAGGCUUUCGAGUCGUAAAAUCCUGUCAGAUGGGAAGAAAUGUUUAUAUGCUAAUACCAUAUAGAUUUGACGGUACCAUCAGAGGAAGCACCGGCUAACUCCGUGCCAGCAGCCGCGGUAAUACGGAGGGUGCAAGCGUUGUUCGGAAUUACUGGGCGUAAAGCGCGCGUAGGCGGUCUGUUAAGUCAGAUGUGAAAGCCCAGGGCUUAACCCUGGACGUGCAUUUGAUACUGGCAGACUUGAGUAUCGGAGGGGGUGGUGGAAUUCCCGGUGUAGAGGUGAAAUUCGUAGAUAUCGGGAGGAAUACCGGUGGCGAAGGCGACCACCUGGCCGAAUACUGACGCUGAGGUGCGAAAGCGUGGGGAGCAAACAGGAUUAGAUACCCGAGUAGUC
Molecule: ribosomal RNA, 465 nt
Filed under: uncultured bacterium
Lineage: Bacteria
Description: partial 16S ribosomal RNA
Rfam family: Bacterial small subunit ribosomal RNA
Source: RNAcentral